CCUACGGGAUGCAGCAGUAGGGAAUCUUCCGCAAUGGACGAAAGUCUGACGGAGCAACGCCGCGUGAGUGAUGAAGGCUUUCGGGUCGUAUAACUCUGUUGUUAGGGAAGAACAAGUGCUAGUUGAAUAAGCUGACACCUUGACGGUACCUAACCAGAAAGCCACGGCUAACUACGUGCCAGCAGCCGCGGUAAUACGUAGGUGGCAAGCGUUAUCCGGAAUUAUUGGGCGUAAAGCGCGCGCAGGUGGUUUCUUAAGUCUGAUGUGAAAGUCCACAGCUCAACCGUGGAGGGUCAUUGGAAACUGGGAGGCUUGAGUGCAGAAGAGGAAAGUGGAAUUCCAUGUGUAGCGGUGAAAUGCGUAGAGAUAUGGAGGAACACCAGUGGCGAAGGCGACUUUCUGGUCUGUAACUGACACUGAGGCGCGAAAGCGUGGGGAGCAAACAGGAUUAGAUACCCUCGUAGUC
Molecule: ribosomal RNA, 466 nt
Filed under: uncultured bacterium
Lineage: Bacteria
Description: bacterial SSU rRNA
Rfam family: Bacterial small subunit ribosomal RNA
Source: RNAcentral